AGGAUAAACGCUGGCGGCGUGCCUAACACAUGCAAGUCGAACGUCUCUUUCUUCGGGAAGAGGAGUGGCGGACGGGUGAGGAACACGUGGGAACCUGCCCUUCAGUGAGGAAUACCGGCGAGAAAUCGCCGACAAGACCGCAUAGCCCUCUCUGGUGAGAGCCAGAGAAGGAAAGCCUCGCAAGAGGCGCUGGAGGAGGGGCCUGCGUCCGAUUAGCUAGUUGGUGGGGUAAGAGCCUACCAAGGCGUCGAUCGGUAGCUGGUCUGAGAGGACGAUCAGCCACACUGGGAUUGAGAACGGCCCAGACUCCUACGGGGGCAGCAGUGAGGAAUUUUCGGCAAUGGGGGAAACCCUGACCGAGCAACGCCGCGUGCAGGAGACGGCCUCGGUUGUAACUGCUUUCUUUGGACGAGCAAGGACGGUACCAGAGGAAUCAGCCCGGCUCACUACGUGCCAGCAGCCGC
This 464-nucleotide ribosomal RNA is filed under the name uncultured bacterium. RNAcentral describes it as "SSU rRNA". It matches the Rfam family "Bacterial small subunit ribosomal RNA", at positions 26 to 518 of the family's 1533-position model. The record is from RNAcentral.